AAAUACCUUUUGCAGAGUCAGAACGAGGAGGAGGUACAUUGAGGCUGAGAGUAGCAGGUCUGGCCGGUGGAGCCCAAAGUGUGGGAUCCACGGCUGACAGCGCACGCGCCAGAUUUGCUGGGGUUACUUCCAGACCCUGGAUCUGAUGGCGUCGCUUGUCGUCGUGACUGAGGGGGUGGGGGUGCUGCACCGGAGGAGCGGGGGGUGGCGAGUCUCUGAAUGAGACCAACGACCCACACGAUCCGACGUCCACUAGGUGUACUGAAAUAUUUGUUCACAAUGUGUUAGUGUCUAGCUGUAUGAUACAGAGUUCGAAAACCGCUA
Bombyx mori (domestic silkworm) is the source of this 324-nucleotide long non-coding RNA. RefSeq lists it as uncharacterized. The transcript is spliced from 2 exons. NCBI's taxonomy places the organism in Eukaryota, Metazoa, Arthropoda, Insecta, Lepidoptera, Bombycidae. The record is from RefSeq and is a predicted model, not a curated record.